AUUUGGUUUCUCAAGUGAUCUGUGUGUUCACCUCCCAAAGCGACCUAAACACACGCUAUCAAUUAAUCACAGCACAGUCAAGUCUGGCUGCCAUGGGACAGAGUAAGAGUGAAUGUGUGUGUGUGUGUGUGUUUAUGAACCAGAGGCAGGCAGAGUCAGAGAGCUCUUUAUUGAGUUUCCAGUCACAUAUUACUACCUCAGCUGCUUGCUUCUCUCCCGCUCUCUCUCCAUUAGCAUUCACCUCAUACCACCCACUCUUCAGAGAUUCCUGAUUCAAGGCAUGGGGGAAUGACUCUGCGCUGGAAUGAGCAAGCCCCAGAAUAUUGGUGAAUUAGUAUUUACUGCAGCGUCUCAUGAGAGCAGGCAGCAGGAUGGUGUGAUCACACUUCCAAAUGACUUCCUCUGCAAGCCCAGGCGAAGUGUUAGCACAGCUCGUCAGACCACUUAAAAGAAGCCCCAAGAACCUGGUUGCCAUGGCAACAGCAGUAGCAGCAGCAUUGUCAUAUCACUGGCCAUGUACCACAUGCAGUAAUUGUUCAAAGGAGUAAACGUCAGCACACAUACGCACACACGGGCGGACGUAUAGAGUGCUUGGCGUUGCUGACGAGGCUCCGGGAUGAGCUGGAGGUUAUUCUUGAGCACUGCUGGGCUACAUGAAGUCACUACUUACAGAAAUAUACCAAUGAUUGAAUAAACUCUUUGAGUUCAUCACGCUGGUGUAAGUUGUCUUUACAUUUAGCACAAUGGGUUAGCACAGUAUGUAACUAUGUAUUGUAUUGAU
Molecule: long non-coding RNA, 781 nt
Organism: Ictalurus punctatus (channel catfish)
Lineage: Eukaryota; Metazoa; Chordata; Actinopteri; Siluriformes; Ictaluridae
Exons: 3
Source: RefSeq, a predicted model, not a curated record